Molecule: ribosomal RNA, 441 nt
Filed under: uncultured bacterium
Lineage: Bacteria
Description: partial 16S ribosomal RNA
Rfam family: Bacterial small subunit ribosomal RNA
Source: RNAcentral
ACUACGGGAGGCAGCAGUGGGGAAUAUUGCACAAUGGGGGAAACCCUGAUGCAGCGACGCCGCGUGAGUGAAGAAGUAUUUCGGUAUGUAAAGCUCUAUCAGCAGGAACGAGACAAGACGGUACCUGACUAAGAAGCCCCGGCUAACUACGUGCCAGCAGCCGCGGUAAUACGUAGGGGGCAAGCGUUAUCCGGAAUCACUGGGUGUAAAGGGAGCGUAGACGGCUGUGCAAGCCUGAAGUGAAAGGCGGGGGCCCAACCCCUGGACUGCUCUGGAAACUGGACGGCUGGAGUGCAGGAGAGGUAAGUGGAAUGCCUAGUGUAGCGGUGAAAUGCAUAGAUAUUAGGAGGAACACCAGUGGCGAAGGCGGCUUACUGGACUGUAACUGACGUUGAGGCUCGAAAGCGUGGGGAGCAAACAGGAUUAGAUACCCUUGUAGUC